AUGUUCCAACUCCGACCGCGUGUUCUCUCUUUCCUCGUCCACUCACCACCCCGUCUCCCCGCCUCCCGCGUCAAUCCCCUCUCCGCCCUUCGCCGCAACCUCUCCGCCACCACAUCCGCUUCACCAAGCCCUUUCGCCGCCGAGGACUACCUCGUCGCCACCUGCGGCGUCUCCCGCGCCCAAGCCGUCAAGGCAGCGAAGAAGAUCUCCCACCUCAAGUCCUCCUCCAAGCCCGACGCGGUCGUCGCCUUCCUCUCCGGCCUCGGCGUCCCCCGCUCCGACAUCGCCGCCAUCGUCGCCGUCGACCCGUGGUUCCUCUGCGCCAGCGUGGAGAGGACCCUGGCGCCCCGCGUCACCGAGCUGAGGGAGCUCGGCCUCUCGCGCUCCGAGGUCGCGCGCCUCGUCCCGCUCGCCCUCUGCUCCUUCCGCAGCAGCUCCCUCAGGGGCAACCUCGACUUCUGGCUCUCGGUCUUCGGCUCCUACGAGAAGCUCCUCAAGGCCCUCAAGAUGAACUCCGGCCUCCUCGCCGCCGACCUCGAGAAGGUGGCCAAGCCGAAUCUGGCCCUCCUCCGGCAAUGCGGGCUAAGUCCCUCCGUCUUCUCGGAGCCCUUCAUUUCCCGGGUGCUCAUCAGGACCCCCAAGAAAGUCCAGGACGCUUUGGUGCACAUUGACAAGUUUGGGGUGUCGCAGAACUCGCGGAUGUUCCUCUACGCGCUUGUGGCCUUCACCGUCCAGAGCCCGGAGAAGCUCACCGACAAAAUCAGAGUCCUCGAGACGCUUGGUUGGUCGCAGGGCGAUGUGCUGUUAGCUGUGAAGACGAUGCCGGGUAUCCUGACCAUAUCCGAGGAGAGGCUGCAGAAAAAUGUGCAUUUCCUCACAAAGGUUGCUGGGCUGGAGAUAUCAUACAUUGCUCAAAGGCCGGUGCUGCUCAAGUAUAGCCUUGAGCGCCGUUUGUUUCCUAGGUACUGCUUGCUUAAGCUACUCAACACGAAGGGGUUGCUGGAUCUUCGAUUUGAUUACAAUGCCGCCUCGCUGUCCGAGAAGAAGUUUCUUGGCAGGUUCGUGCAUCCUUACAAGGAGAGUCUUCCAGGCCUUGCUGAUGUUUAUGCUUCUAGCUGUGCUGGGAAACUACAGAUGGAGUUGCUAUCAGAGAACACAAAACAAAACUAG
Molecule: ribosomal RNA, 1170 nt
Filed under: Triticum aestivum (bread wheat)
Lineage: Eukaryota; Viridiplantae; Streptophyta; Magnoliopsida; Poales; Poaceae
Description: partial small subunit ribosomal RNA
Source: RNAcentral